AAACUGUUUUCAGGUAUUUUGCCAGCAGGAUUUCAGCCCCUAAAUAGGGUAUUUCAUGGAACCUUAUGAAAAGGCUGCUUUACUACCAUAUUGUGAAGCUGUGGGUUUAUAGCACUCCUAAAUAUUUAGAUAGACCAUGAAAAUGUAGUCAAUUAAGAAAAGUGUGAUGUGUUUUAAUGACCAGGUGUAUUCAAUUAUUCAGCUUCAAUUUCCUUUCUCUAGGAUGUAAGUAGGUUUUAAAAAUUUUAACUUGGUAAAUUAACUCCUUAAUUUUAAGGACCUGGUCCUCUGAAGACAGUGUCUGCAGUGAAGCUGAGUCCUCUCUGUCCCAGGCCCUAGUGUCUACCUCUAAUUUAUUCCUGAUGAAUGACAGCGAGUUCACAGUCUCAGCCUGGUCUGCUUUCCCGAGAUCAUAAAACCCAACAAAUGAUCAUCUUACAGUCUCAAGUAUAUGAAAUUGUUUUUUUAAUACUAGAACAUCCAUAAUGAAUUUUUGGAAUGAUGUUUUCUGUGUCAAAUAAACAAAAGAUGAUGUUUUCACAUCACAAAACCACAACGGUUUGCCAUUUUUUUUUUUCAUUAAACUUCUAUGUAAACACAUAGAUGUCUCAAAUAAUUUCUGAUGUCACGAAGAAUUUCUCAGGGAUUUCUGAUGUCUUGAAGAAUUACAUCCCCAGCACUGAGGAUCCAGGCCAUUGAACUAAAGAUGGAUAGUGUUUCUCAGGAGAUUAGAGAUAAAGUUCAGAUAAAGUUUGCAUCGUCUUGAAGGAAUUAUCCCUAUUUUAUAAAAAACCAUAUUAUCACACUACAGAAAAUGUAAAAUGAGUUGUACCCACGAAACAUUGCCAUGAGCUAAGAAAGAAACUGUGGGACAGUGCAACAUAAGACUCUGCAAUACAAAAAAUAAAAUAUCACAAGCUGUAGAAAACUUUCACCAAAAAGAAAAAUAUCUAUUUAUUAAACUGUUUACAAGAGUACUGUGCAAAAUGGAAUAUAUAAUUGCAAUUUAGUUUGAAAGAUUUCUUGAGUCUUUAAAAAAGUUCUGAUUCUACUUUUCUAUCUGGAAAUGAAUGCAUUGCCAACGAAACACUCACAUGAAGCAUUAGUGGCAGGAGAUACUAUCACCCAUGGUGUCAUGUUGGACCUCUGUCGAUUUUGAUCAAUUUUAAGUGUAAAUGAUUGAAUAGCUUAAAAAUGAGUAGCUUUUAGUAAACUCUUAUAGGUGAGUAGAAUUGCACUUAAAAGAUUGCAAGAUGGGGGCAGGUUAAUGUGUCCGGCAAUCUAAUUGUUAUUGGAAAAAAUAAUCUCUUUGAGCUGAACAGCCAUGGAGAAUUAGACAGCAGGACUUUGACAGAUAGGCAUCAAGACCCUGUUUGAACUCAACCACUAAGUGUUUUGCUUUUAUCUCUCUGUCUAUUCACGAUAACUUCUGAGGAAGCUAAAGGACUUUGAGUUUGGUAGAAGAUUCAAGAUGUACCUUAAUUUCAAAUAAUGGGUCAGUCUGCCACCUUGAUUUUAUAAAAGGUGGGAUCUUUUUGGGCUAUUGUAAUAUUAUUUUUCAUAUCUUUUGUGUCAAAGAAAAUAGCUAGGUUCUUUAAUACUCUGUUCCUUGAUACAAAUAUUGAUUUAUAGUGAUUCUGGUUUAAUUUCCAUAGAGGCAAUGUUUCAGAUACUUAUCUUCAACAUAUCUUGUUAUAUAAUGUUUAACAAAUAAAAAUGGUGGAAU
Macaca mulatta (Rhesus monkey) is the source of this 1726-nucleotide long non-coding RNA. NCBI's taxonomy places the organism in Eukaryota, Metazoa, Chordata, Mammalia, Primates, Cercopithecidae. The record is from Ensembl.